Molecule: long non-coding RNA, 541 nt
Organism: Balaenoptera musculus (blue whale)
Lineage: Eukaryota; Metazoa; Chordata; Mammalia; Artiodactyla; Balaenopteridae
Exons: 4
Source: RefSeq, a predicted model, not a curated record
UUGAACCUGUGCCCCCUGCAGUGGAAGCACCGAGUUUUAACGACUGGACAACCAGGGAAGUCCUGUCCAUGUAAUUCUUGAUGGUUGUGUUUCAAAAUCGGAGGGCUUGCCGUGUAGGGUGAUGAUUUGUUGCUGUCCCAUGUUUCUUCUCAAGCUCAUUUUUCUUCGGAUUGUAAAGCUUCUGAAUGAUUUUAAAAAAAGUCAUAGACACGUUUGGCCAUCAACAACAAACAAAGCAAUAACAUGGAAUGGCACGCAGCCCACAACACACUCAGGGAAUCCUAGGGUGUCACCGAAGAGAGACAAAGGAAAUUGGAGACCUUUUGGAACUGACUCUCACACUGAAGCCAGUGACAAAGCUCACGGAGCUACCUCCCUUUGUGCCCAGGAGAAGUUCAGCCCACGCACCAUCUGGUCCAUAUGAGGGAGCCCUCCCUCCAGCCCCACCCCUAACCACCAGAAGACUCCAGUCGCCUCUCCCUGCUUUCUUAAGCUGGUUUUGGACCUUCUUUGGAGCCUGCCCUGCUCUUCCCAGAAAGCC